UACGUAGGUGGCAAGCGUUGUCCGGAUUUAUUGGGUUUAAAGGGUUCGUAGGUGGCCCGCUAAGUCAGACGUGAAAUCCCUCAGCUCAACUGGGGAACUGCGUCUGAGACUGGCGGGCUUGAGUGCAGGAGAGGAACGCGGAAUUCCAGGUGUAGCGGUGAAAUGCGUAGAUAUCUGGAGGAACACCGGUGGCGAAGGCGGCGUUCUGGACUGUUACUGACACUGAGGAACGAAAGCCAGGGGAGCAAACGGG
RNAcentral lists this ribosomal RNA (253 nucleotides) under uncultured bacterium. Its description in RNAcentral is "partial 16S ribosomal RNA". It matches the Rfam family "Bacterial small subunit ribosomal RNA", at positions 524 to 776 of the family's 1533-position model. The record is from RNAcentral.